This 389-nucleotide ribosomal RNA is filed under the name uncultured Lactobacillus sp. Its description in RNAcentral is "bacterial SSU rRNA". It matches the Rfam family "Bacterial small subunit ribosomal RNA", at positions 162 to 525 of the family's 1533-position model. The record is from RNAcentral. Lineage: Bacteria; Bacillati; Bacillota; Bacilli; Lactobacillales; Lactobacillaceae.
GCUAAUACCGGAUAAGAAAGACAGAUCGCAUGAUCAGCUUUUAAAGGUACGGCGUAAAGCUGUCGCUAUGGGGAUGGGCCCCGCGGUGCAUUAGCUAGUUGGUAAGGUAAAGGACUUACCAAGGGCGAUGAUGCAUAGCCCGAGUUGAGAGACUGAUCGGCCACAUUGGGGACUGAGACACGGCCCAAACUCCUACGGGAGGCAGCAGUAGGGAAUCUUCCACAAUGGACGCAAGUCUGAUGGAGCAAACGCCGCGUGAGUGAAGAAGGUUUUCGGAUCGUAAAGCUCUGUUGUUGGUGAAGAAGGAUAGAGGUAGUAACUGGCCCUUUAUUUGACGGUAAUCAACCAGAAAGUCACGGGCUAACUACGUGCCAGCAGCCGCGGUAAAU